This 496-nucleotide ribosomal RNA is filed under the name uncultured bacterium. RNAcentral describes it as "partial 16S ribosomal RNA". It matches the Rfam family "Bacterial small subunit ribosomal RNA", at positions 28 to 506 of the family's 1533-position model. The record is from RNAcentral.
GAUGAACGCUGGCGGCGUGCCUAAUACAUGCAAGUCGAGCGAACAGACGAGGAGCUUGCUCCUCUGACGUUAGCGGCGGACGGGUGAGUAACACGUGGAUAACCUACCUAUAAGACUGGGAUAACUUCGGGAAACCGGAGCUAAUACCGGAUAAUAUAUUGAACCGCAUGGUUCAAUAGUGAAAGACGGUUUUGCUGUCACUUAUAGAUGGAUCCGCGCCGCAUUAGCUAGUUGGUAAGGUAACGGCUUACCAAGGCAACGAUGCGUAGCCGACCUGAGAGGGGGAGGGGCCAACAGGGAAAAGAGAAACGGGCCAGAACCCUAGGGGAGGAAGCAGGAGGGAAAUUGCCGAAAGGGGGGAAAGCCUGAAGGAGCAACGCCGGGGGGGGGAUGAAGGUCUGGGGAUGAUAAAACUCUUUUAUUAGGGAAAAAAAAAGGUGUAAGUAAAGAGGCACGUCUUGAGGGAACCAAAAAAGAAAGCCACGGCUAAAUACGU